UACGUAGGGUGCAAGCGUUAAUCGGAAUUAUUGGGCGUAAAGGGCUCGUAGGCGGUUUGUCGCGUCGGGAGUGAAAUCCACUGGCUUAACUGGUGGCUUGCUUUCGAUACGGGCAGACUGGAGGUAUGCAGGGGAGAACGGAAUUCCUGGUGUAGCGGUGAAAUGCGCAGAUAUCAGGAGGAACACCGGUGGCGAAGGCGGUUCUCUGGGCAUUACCUGACGCUGAGGAGCGAAAGUGUGGGGAGCGAACAGG
Molecule: ribosomal RNA, 253 nt
Filed under: uncultured bacterium
Lineage: Bacteria
Description: partial 16S ribosomal RNA
Rfam family: Bacterial small subunit ribosomal RNA
Source: RNAcentral